GUCAGGAUGGCCGAGCGGUCUAAGGCGCUGCGUUCAGGUCGCAGUCCGGACUUCCGGGCGUGGGUUCGAAUCCCACUUCUGACA
Molecule: non-coding RNA, 84 nt
Organism: Ixodes scapularis (black-legged tick)
Lineage: Eukaryota; Metazoa; Arthropoda; Arachnida; Ixodida; Ixodidae
Source: Rfam